Molecule: ribosomal RNA, 251 nt
Filed under: Escherichia coli
Lineage: Bacteria; Pseudomonadati; Pseudomonadota; Gammaproteobacteria; Enterobacterales; Enterobacteriaceae
Also listed under: 3 other names
Description: partial 23S ribosomal RNA
Rfam family: Bacterial large subunit ribosomal RNA
Source: RNAcentral
CCGGAGUGGACGCAUCACUGGUGUUCGGGUUGUCAUGCCAAUGGCACUGCCCGGUAGCUAAAUGCGGAAGAGAUAAGUGCUGAAAGCAUCUAAGCACGAAACUUGCCCCGAGAUGAGUUCUCCCUGACUCCUUGAGAGUCCUGAAGGAACGUUGAAGACGACGACGUUGAUAGGCCGGGUGUGUAAGCGCAGCGAUGCGUUGAGCUAACCGGUACUAAUGAACCGUGAGGCUUAACCUUACAACGCCGAAG